GACGAACCGCCCGAACGUUGUUCGGAAUCACUGGGCUUAAAGGGCGCGUAGGCGGGCCUCGUAGUCAGGGGUGAAAUCCCACGGCUCAACCGUGGAAGUGCCUCUGAUACUGGGGGCCUCGAGGGAGGUAGGGGCGUGCGGAACUUCCGGUGGAGCGGUGGAAUGCGUAGAUAUCGGAAGGAACACCGGUGGCGAAAGCGGCGCGCUGGACCUCUUCUGACGCUGAGGCGCGAAAGCCAGGGGAGCAAACGGG
RNAcentral lists this ribosomal RNA (253 nucleotides) under uncultured bacterium. Its description in RNAcentral is "partial 16S ribosomal RNA". It matches the Rfam family "Bacterial small subunit ribosomal RNA", at positions 524 to 776 of the family's 1533-position model. The record is from RNAcentral.